GGGCAUGAUUAAGUGCAAUAGGAAUGGCAAGCAGAGGGUGAUGAGGCCUGGUCCAUACCAAUGUCAUCCCAGUCCUCAAUGCAAGUGCCACACUAUCAAUGCAAUGGGGGUAGGUAGUAUGAUUCCACCCUCGUCUCCUUACUGCAAGUGCUUCUUAAGUCAAAUAGCAAAAGUAAGAUUGAUAACCAUAUUUGUAGGGGCCCAGUUAAGUUGUGCAACACUGUACAUAAGGCGAUGCCCUCCAGCAAUAGCAGAUAUAAAAAUAUGGGGAUUCUUGCAUGGACGAAGAAAAAUAAGGCUACUUUUUGGCUAUUGGGUCAGCACUGCACAUCAGUUGUACUAGGCAGACCAAAAACCAUUGCAGGGCCACCCCACGAGCACACACCAAACAAUCAAACCACGGCAUGGAUCUACUCUACUGGCUGAGAGCUGCACCCAGACAACAAACGUAUCUUCACCUCAGCACGAAUGCAGAUGCUCCUGAUGCUUCCUACCCCUGUAUAUAUGUGGGUACAUAAUUCCGCAGCAAGAUCACUGGAGGAUUCACAGUUAGCAAUGCUAGCAUCUCUGCUCCCUUACAAGCUGUUUUAUGCAUAGGUUUGAGAGGCCGCGAGCUCGAGGAUUCACGGGGACGCACAAUCUGAUUCCAUGCACCGCACAAUCUGAUUCACGGGGAUGCAAUGAGGGAGGAGAAACAUUGUUGCUCUUGCUUCAGUUAGUUCCUCUUAUAGUCCAAGAUAGUCAGACAUUUCUUCUCGAAAGAAAGAGAUGAUACAGGCCCCUUUCAAUAUGUUCUAUUGUAGGAUUAGGGUGUACCAGAAAUGCUUCUAUUAUAGAUCAAUUUCUGUACAGAUAAACAGUUGCUCCUUUGAGGAUACCAAUGAACGGAGCCAGUGGGGAGCGUGGGGUACCAAGAUGGUGCAACCAGGAAAGUAGGUAUGAGAGGUAGGCUGUAUGAGAAGUAGACAUGCACCGCUGGUUUGCUUGAUCCAAUUUUGUAGAAUUACCAUGUACCUUCCUGUCUAAGGCUCUAAGCCCGAAACUGAACUACUGUGAGUGAAAAUCAACUAAAAUCCACUUCUUUGUUUUACGAAUGGAUGGUUACACUCCAUGUAGCGUAGGUGUAUGGCAUACUCUAUCUGGACUGCUUACACUGAAUAAUUGUACGUGUUCAACCAAUUAAACUUAUUAGUGCAUGCCU
RNAcentral lists this long non-coding RNA (1201 nucleotides) under Sorghum bicolor (sorghum). RNAcentral's name for it is "long non-coding RNA (SBIC_LNC015120)". Lineage: Eukaryota; Viridiplantae; Streptophyta; Magnoliopsida; Poales; Poaceae. The record is from RNAcentral.